AGCACAUCGACCAGGAUUACAAAAAACUUGUGAAUGCCUGCAAGAAAGUUUAAAUUAACAAAUAAAACAAAUAAAUGAUUGUGAAAAACCCCGACAUGCAUUAGUUCCAACUUAUUCAUUCUGAAUGCACGAGACAAUUGUAUAUCCAAUUAUAAAAAAUUUGAGUAAAUAAAAAAAAAUCGUCACGGUUUACAAAUUCGGUAAUUUGUUUUCCGCGGAAGAAAAGCAUUCCGGAUGAGAAUAGGAUCCAAUUGAAUAGAAGAUUGAAGAAAAUGGAACCGGCGAUUGAGAAAGACUACAAGAUGAAAAGCCAGAGACAAUGAUUAUAGCCCAAAGGAAGCUAAGAUACACUAAGUUAUACGAAAAGCACGAUAGCUUAUUCAUAAACAAUCCAAUUUCGAAAAUUGUGUUGUGCCAGUUACAAAUUACAGCAAUCGGUGAUAAAAAUCAAAGCUGACUUUGUUAUUGGCCGUAUCUUUUCGAAACUUUGAUUCUACUGCUUAUGGAACCGUUCUUUAAUUUGAUUGUGUUUGGGAGAAGAAACUGUAUGAUAGUAGUGUGUGCAGACACGCAAGAUGAAUGAAAUACUUCGAAAGGAAUGUUUAUGUAAAUACUUGUGGAGACUCAGUUUAACUCCAGCAUUUUUUCAACUAUCCCAAUAAUCCCAUUAUUUCUAUUUCUGCCUCACGUUUCUAUUAGCAUAGUAUGGUUGGAAUUUUGAGUUACUUCUUUGUAGCAUUCUUUAAGGAUUCAUUUUUACAAACCACCAAAUCAUUGUGUACAAGUUAUACU
Schizosaccharomyces pombe (fission yeast) is the source of this 792-nucleotide non-coding RNA. The record is from the annotation of a GenBank genome assembly. Lineage: Eukaryota; Fungi; Ascomycota; Schizosaccharomycetes; Schizosaccharomycetales; Schizosaccharomycetaceae.